CCGAGUUAUCAACUCCCAAACCCCUGUGAACUACCUUUUGUUGCCUCGGCGGGAUCGCCCCGGCGCCUCCGGGCCCGGAUCCAGGCGCCCGCCGCAGGACCCAAACUCUUGUUUUCUAUAUGAAUCUUCUGAGUGACACAAGCAAAUAAAUUA
This 153-nucleotide unclassified non-coding RNA is filed under the name soil metagenome. Its description in RNAcentral is "partial internal transcribed spacer 1". The record is from RNAcentral.